RNAcentral lists this small RNA (917 nucleotides) under Pan troglodytes (chimpanzee). RNAcentral's name for it is "retained intron". Lineage: Eukaryota; Metazoa; Chordata; Mammalia; Primates; Hominidae. The record is from RNAcentral.
AUGGCGUCCGUAUGAUCUUCGGAGUCUGCUGCAUCGGACCUCGGCCAGUGUGAGCGGCAAGAGGAUAGGAGAUUAUCUUUCUUAUCGCGAUGGGACGGGAAAGGGCAGUUGGGGUCGGAGUCGGCAGCAGAGUGCAGAGCGCGGGCGGUGGAGGCCCUGGAGCAGCGGGCUAGGGGCGGAACCGAGUGCCUGUCAGGCGCGUCUGGAGCUCUCGGGCCCGCCGAGGAGAUCGCAUCGUAAAGGCAGCUCGCCUACUGCCAUAAAAGAUGACAACAGCAGCCAGGCCAACCUUUGAACCUGCAAGAGGUGGAAGGGGAAAAGGAGAAGGUGAUUUGAGCCAACUUUCAAAGCAGUAUUCAAGCAGAGACCUACCCUCUCAUACAAAGAUAAAAUACAGACAGACUACUCAGGAUGCCCCUGAAGAGGUUCGUAACCGUGACUUCAGGAGAGAGUUGGAAGAAAGAGAGAGAGCUGCUGCAAGAGAGAAAAAUAGGGAUCGUCCAACCCGAGGUACCAACACUAUCCAAGACAUUUGUCUCAUAAAAUUAUGUUGUUGAUAGUUUUUCAUUAUGUAGCAAUUGGAAAAUGUUAACCAUUUACUUUUACAGAUUGAUGUGAGCUGUACUACUUUCUUAGGUCAUUAGAGAUAAUAACAACAAAUAUUUACCAAAGGCUUAUUUGCCCAGGCACUGUGGAUGUGAGUUCACUGUGGAUAAUGCUUUUAAUGUGGGCUCCUUGUGCCCACAGGUCCCUAAAACAUUUUAAGAAAUGAAGUAUUUGUUUUACUAAGUUAAAUGAUUUUUGUUUCCCCCCAGAACAUACAACCUCCUCUUCAGUGUCAAAAAAGCCACGGUUAGACCAGAUUCCUGCCGCCAACCUUGAUGCCGAUGACCCUCUAACAGAUGUAUGUUUUGUUU